This 317-nucleotide long non-coding RNA is filed under the name Gossypium barbadense (sea-island cotton). RNAcentral describes it as "long non-coding RNA (GBAR_LNC007026)". The record is from RNAcentral. Lineage: Eukaryota; Viridiplantae; Streptophyta; Magnoliopsida; Malvales; Malvaceae.
UUGUUUAAUGUUGCUUGUAGGAUUGGCCCAAAUAGGGGUGGCAAGUUGGCUUAAAUCAAGCCUACAUUUUGCCACACGGUCAGCUACCACGGGCGUGCCUUGUGGCCGUGUAUGUAAAUCAGUAACCUCUUAAGAUCCACACGACUAUAGCACAUGGGCGUGUCAUAUGGCCGUGGGCUCAAGUCAGUAGCUAGCUAAGCUUCACACGGCCAUAGCACACGGGCAUGUCUAUUGGCCAUGGGUGAAAGUCAGUAUGUAUGCCUUGUUGGCAUGGCUGGUUCAUAUGGGUGUGUUGGCACCCGUGUGAGGUACACGGC